Molecule: ribosomal RNA, 156 nt
Filed under: Weissella minor
Lineage: Bacteria; Bacillati; Bacillota; Bacilli; Lactobacillales; Lactobacillaceae
Description: partial 16S ribosomal RNA
Rfam family: Bacterial small subunit ribosomal RNA
Source: RNAcentral
UUGUACACACCGCCCGUCACACCAUGAGAGUUUGUAACACCCAAAGCCGGUGAGGUAACCUUUUAGGAGCCAACCGUCUAAGGUGGGACAGAUGAUUAGGGUGAAGUCGUAACAAGGUAGCCGUAGGAGAACCUGCGGCUGGGUCACCUCCUUUCU